Molecule: ribosomal RNA, 229 nt
Filed under: uncultured bacterium
Lineage: Bacteria
Description: partial 16S ribosomal RNA
Rfam family: Bacterial small subunit ribosomal RNA
Source: RNAcentral
CGUGUAGGCGGCGUCGUAAGUCUGAUGUGAAAGCCCUCGGCUCAACCGAGGAAGUGCAUCAGAUACUGCGGCGCUCGAGUCCCGGAGGGGGUGGUGGAAUUCCAAGCGUAGAGGUGAAAUUCGUAGAUGUUUGGAGGAACACCGGUGGCGAAGGCGACCACCUGGACGGGUACUGACGCUGAGACGCGAAAGCGUGGGGAGCAAACAGGAUUAGAUACCCUGGUAGUCC